GCCAGCUAGGUCAAAUGGUUAAGAUGCCGCCUUCAUACGGCGAGAGGACUGAGUUCAACUCUCAGAGCUGGCACCA
Molecule: transfer RNA, 76 nt
Filed under: Caudoviricetes sp.
Lineage: Duplodnaviria; Heunggongvirae; Uroviricota; Caudoviricetes
Description: tRNA-Met
Source: RNAcentral